UGCCUUUUUGUAUGAAAUUUU
Molecule: non-coding RNA, 21 nt
Filed under: Caenorhabditis elegans
Lineage: Eukaryota; Metazoa; Nematoda; Chromadorea; Rhabditida; Rhabditidae
Source: RNAcentral